AGAACUUUUGAUCAUCCUAGACCUGGCUCUUUGAAAAGCAUGAAUAUGUAAAACAAUGAACAAAAAAUUACAACUUGAAUUCCAACAUGCGAAUGGUAUAUGGCUAACAAAUUUCACUAAAGAACACCACAUCAUAUUGAAGUAUUAUACACUUUAUGGACAUGAUUUUCCGUGAACUACGUUUGAAGCUAUACAUGCCAGAUAUCGGCCACAGAACUGUUACAUAAUGAACGCCUCAUUUUUAGAACUGUUCAUUAUAGUAAAUAACCAGCCAAAAAACCUCAAAUGGCCUUGGAGAAGUGAUGGCAAUUCUGGAUCGACGACAGAUGUUCUUGGCAAGCUUUCAAGAAAAACACAGCCCUACCAUUUAGAAUUGAGAGGUCUUCAUGAAAUCUCUAUGUUUUUAUUGUAAAACAAUAGACAAAACAUUUAUCAAGCUCCGUCUUCAAAUGCUUGCAACUUUCAAUACCAAGUCUCGCAUAGCUGAAUAUCUGCUCUAUGUAUGAAUUGGUUUGGUCUCAUGAAAAGGACCAUUUCUUUAUGCAGUUCCGGCUAUCAACCUUUCCCGUUGAUCAAAUUUUUUUGACCUUUACAAUGCCAAA
Molecule: unclassified non-coding RNA, 602 nt
Filed under: Hevea brasiliensis (rubber tree)
Lineage: Eukaryota; Viridiplantae; Streptophyta; Magnoliopsida; Malpighiales; Euphorbiaceae
Source: RNAcentral